Long non-coding RNA from Scaptodrosophila lebanonensis, 341 nucleotides. RefSeq lists it as uncharacterized. The record is from RefSeq and is a predicted model, not a curated record. The transcript is spliced from 3 exons. NCBI's taxonomy places the organism in Eukaryota, Metazoa, Arthropoda, Insecta, Diptera, Drosophilidae.
UGGUAGCAACUAUCUUCUUCGCAUGCUUAUUGAGUGCAAUAAAUGCCAUGAUAGUUGAUUAUUGCCACAGAAAUUGUGAAGGAGCUUAUAAGCCUGUCUGUGCUUGGAAUGGUAUUUGUUCUCAAUUCUUUAAUAAUAUUUGCGAAGCAGCCGUAAAAAACUGCAGACUCAGACAAAAUGGUAGACGAGAAUUUACACAUUUUGUAUAUAGGAGGUGUAUUACAGCAAGGCUUUGCAGCAGACAAAUAGGAUGAAAACACAUCGCCCAUACCUCUGAGAAAAUUAGCUGUAAAGAAAUGUAUGUUAUUUUAAUCAAAAAAUAAACUACAUAUUUCUGUACA